GUGGAUAUAGCUCAAUAGGUAGAGUACUUGCCUUGCAUGCAGAAGGCCCUGGGUUCAAUCUCCAGCAUCACA
Molecule: transfer RNA, 72 nt
Filed under: Ictidomys tridecemlineatus (thirteen-lined ground squirrel)
Lineage: Eukaryota; Metazoa; Chordata; Mammalia; Rodentia; Sciuridae
Description: Spermophilus tridecemlineatus (thirteen-lined ground squirrel) tRNA
Rfam family: tRNA
About the family: Transfer RNA (tRNA) molecules are approximately 80 nucleotides in length. Their secondary structure includes four short double-helical elements and three loops (D, anti-codon, and T loops).
Source: Rfam by way of RNAcentral